UUGAUGUUCUCUCUGAACCUCAAAAGGAACCAGAGACACUUCUAUUUUUGAUUUGUUUAUUUUCAACAUCACAAAAUAAUAAGCAUAAUCUGAAUAGAAAUGCUCUCCUUUUCCUUUUCCCUCUUCUACUUCACUUCCUCAGAGAUUGAGCCUGUUGUGAACCAUUAGUAAGUUCUGAGUGAUAAUU
Molecule: long non-coding RNA, 187 nt
Organism: Sinocyclocheilus rhinocerous
Lineage: Eukaryota; Metazoa; Chordata; Actinopteri; Cypriniformes; Cyprinidae
Exons: 3
Source: RefSeq, a predicted model, not a curated record